RNAcentral lists this ribosomal RNA (498 nucleotides) under uncultured bacterium. RNAcentral describes it as "partial 16S ribosomal RNA". It matches the Rfam family "Bacterial small subunit ribosomal RNA", at positions 29 to 523 of the family's 1533-position model. The record is from RNAcentral.
AUUGAACGCUGGCGGAAUGCUUUACACAUGCAAGUCGAGCGGCAGCGCGGGGCAACCUGGCGGCGAGCGGCGAACGGGUGAGUAAUGCAUCGGAACAUGUCCAUGGAUGGGGGAUAGCCCGGCGAAAGCCGGAUUAAUACCGCAUGAGCCCGAGAGGGGAAAGCGGGGGACCGCACGGCCUCACGUCGAUGGGUUGGCCGAUGCCCGAUUAGCUAGUUGGUGAGGUAAUGGCUCACCAAGGCGAUGAUCGGUAGCUGGUCUGAGAGGAUGAUCAGCCACACUGGGACUGAGACACGGCCCAGACUCCUACGGGAGGCAGCAGUGGGGAAUUUUGGACAAUGGGGGCAACCCUGAUCCAGCCAUUCCGCGUGAGUGAAGAAGGCCUUCGGGUUGUAAAGCUCUUUUGUCCGGAGCGAAACGGGGCGCGUGAAUAUCGCGCUCUACUGACGGUACCGGAAGAAUAAGCACCGGCUAACUACGUGCCAGCCGCCGCCGUAA